Molecule: microRNA, 22 nt
Filed under: Brassica rapa (field mustard)
Lineage: Eukaryota; Viridiplantae; Streptophyta; Magnoliopsida; Brassicales; Brassicaceae
Description: bra-miR9553-5p
Source: miRBase by way of RNAcentral
UACAAAGCUGAAGCUAAUUAUG